This 255-nucleotide unclassified non-coding RNA is filed under the name plant metagenome. Its description in RNAcentral is "partial contains small subunit ribosomal RNA, internal transcribed spacer 1, and 5.8S ribosomal RNA". The record is from RNAcentral.
UUUCCGUAGGUGAACCUGCGGAAGGAUCAUUAUCGAGUUUUGAAACGGGUUGUAGCUGGCCUUCUUUGGCACCGUGCACGCCCUGCUCAUCCACUCUACACCUGUGCACUUACUGUAGGUUUCAGACGCGAUGCGAGUUUAGGCUCGCGGAGCUUAUGGGGCUUACGUUUCAACCACAAACGCUUCAGUAUCAGAAUGUGUAUCGCGAUGUAACGCAUCUAAAUACAACUUUCAGCAACGGAUCUCUUGGCUCUC